GAGGGUAUAGCUCAGUGGUAGAGUACCUGUGUAGCAUGCAGGAGGUCCUGGGUUCAAUCCCCAGUACCUCCA
RNAcentral lists this transfer RNA (72 nucleotides) under Camelus bactrianus (Bactrian camel). It matches the Rfam family "tRNA". From Rfam's summary of the family: Transfer RNA (tRNA) molecules are approximately 80 nucleotides in length. Their secondary structure includes four short double-helical elements and three loops (D, anti-codon, and T loops). Lineage: Eukaryota; Metazoa; Chordata; Mammalia; Artiodactyla; Camelidae. The record is from Rfam by way of RNAcentral. RNAcentral also lists the same sequence under 2 other names.